Molecule: ribosomal RNA, 449 nt
Filed under: uncultured actinomycete
Lineage: Bacteria; Bacillati; Actinomycetota; Actinomycetes; Actinomycetales
Description: bacterial SSU rRNA
Rfam family: Bacterial small subunit ribosomal RNA
Source: RNAcentral
CUAACUACGUGCCAGCAGMCGCGGUAAUACGUAGGGCGCAAGCGUUGUCCGRAAUUAUUGGGCGUAAAGAGCUCGUAGGUGGCUGGUCGCGUCUGCCGUGAAAGCCCGCAGCUUAACUGCGGGUCUGCGGUGGAUACGGGCCGGCUAGAGGUAGGUAGGGGCAAGUGGAAUUCCUGGUGUAGCGGUGAAAUGCGCAGAUAUCAGGAGGAACACCGGUGGCGAAGGCGGCUUGCUGGGCCUUACCUGACGCUGAGGAGCGAAAGCGUGGGGAGCGAACAGGAUUAGAUACCCUGGUAGUCCACGCUGUAAACGUUGGGCGCUAGGUGUGGGGAUCUUCCACGAUCUCCGUGCCGGAGCUAACGCAUUAAGCGCCCCGCCUGGGGAGUACGGCCGCAAGGCUAAAACUCAAAGGAAUUGACGGGGGCCCGCACAAGCGGCGGAGCAUGUUG